Molecule: long non-coding RNA, 483 nt
Organism: Triplophysa rosa
Lineage: Eukaryota; Metazoa; Chordata; Actinopteri; Cypriniformes; Nemacheilidae
Exons: 4
Source: RefSeq, a predicted model, not a curated record
CCCCGGGCGCUGCAGUGAUAGCUGCCCACUGCUCCGGGUGUACGUGUGUUCACCACUUGCUGUGCGUGUGUUCACUACUCUCUGGAUGGAUUAAAUGCAGAGGUCACAUUUUGGGAGCACGCUUCAGAUGAUUUAUGAGGCAUAUGAUCCAAAGAAAACAAACAAGAAUUCGUAAUCAAUAUCAUCAUUAACCUAAAGCUGGAAUCUGUAACUCUGUUUGAAACAUGACAUUGCAGAGUUACAGUCCUGUGUGCAGCAGGCCUUGGAAUGGUGUUUACUGCCAACUUCCCCCUCCGAUUCUGCACCAGUUGAUCAUGUUCAGACCCAUAGGCUUUCUACCCACCCCGCUCAGACCCGCUCGGACCCGAAACCUCAUUGGCCGCUAGUGUCGUCACAGAGACAACAGCUGUCUCCAGGAUGAAGAAGCUACACUUGGGGUGCCAGCCAGUCUGCCUGCCUGCAAUUGGAGAGUCCCAAAGUCCC